RNAcentral lists this long non-coding RNA (481 nucleotides) under Homo sapiens (human). RNAcentral describes it as "OIP5 antisense RNA 1". Lineage: Eukaryota; Metazoa; Chordata; Mammalia; Primates; Hominidae. The record is from RNAcentral.
GAAGCUGCGAAGAUGGCGGAGUAAGGCGUGCCGCUGCAAACUGGCCUCUGGGCCGGGGGCGAGCAGCCCCCGGGAGGCCGAGUGCAUCUGUUGGACCGUGCGAGGAGAAGAAAAAAAAUAUCGGCCAGAGGAGAGGAACUAACCGAACAUUCUUCCUCCCUACCUUAUAGAGGGGAGUGGUCAUCUACACUAAAGCAAAGUGUUAGGCGCGUCCGUGCGAAGAGACCACCAAACAGGCUUUGUGUUCCUUAUCACAGGAAGAAAAUUUUCCUUGACCUUUAGGUGCUUUUAUAUUCAUCUCAAAAACAAAAUUCUGAACUCAGGACUUGGCAAACCACCGCUGAAACUUCACUUCUACACAGAGGCUUUCUUUCCCAGAAACCCAGACCAGAUCCUCAGAUGUAAAGUUUCGUGUGAAAAAAGACAAAACAUUGCUGAGCAGCACUGCUACUGUGAAGAUGAAUAAAGUCUGGUCACAGUG